Molecule: ribosomal RNA, 119 nt
Filed under: Pteropus alecto (black flying fox)
Lineage: Eukaryota; Metazoa; Chordata; Mammalia; Chiroptera; Pteropodidae
Source: RNAcentral
AUCUAUGGCCAUGCCACUCUGAACGUGCCCAAUCUUGUCUGAUCUUGGAAGCUAAGCAGGGUUGGGCCUGGUUAGUACUUGGAUGGGAGACCACCUAGGAAGACCAGAUGCUGUAGGUG